GGACUGCGGAGGACAUUAUCGAGUUUUGACUGGGUUGUAAGCUGGCCUUCCGAGGCAUGUGCACGCCCUGCUCAUCCACUCUACACCUGUGCACUUACUGUGGGUUUACGGGUCGCGAAAUGGGCUCGUUUAUUCGGGCUUGUUGAGCGCACUUGUUGCCUGCGUUCAUCACAAACUCUGUAAAGUAUUAGAAUGUGUAUUGCGAUGUAACGCAUCUAUAUACAACUUUCAGCAACGGAUCUCUUGGCUCUCGCAUCGAUGAAGAACGCAGCGAAAUGCGAUAAGUAAUGUGAAUUGCAGAAUUCAGUGAAUCAUCGAAUCUUUGAACGCACCUUGCGCUCCUUGGUAUUCCGAGGAGCAUGCCUGUUUGAGUGUCAUGAAAUCUUCAACCUACAAGCUUUUUGUGGUUCGUAGGCUUUGGACUUGGAGGCUUGUCGGCCUUUGUAGGUCGGCUCCUCUUAAAUGUAUUAGCUUGGUUCCUUGCGGAUCGGCUGUCGGUGUGAUAAUGUCUACUCCGCGACCGUGAAGCGUUUGGCAGGCUUCUAACCGUCUCGCUUUAGAGACAUACUUUAUGACCUCUGACCUCAAAUCAGGUAGGACUACCCGCUGAACUUAAGCAUAUCAAAAGGGGGGGAGGA
This 638-nucleotide ribosomal RNA is filed under the name Ganoderma mutabile. RNAcentral describes it as "eukaryotic LSU rRNA". The stretch from base 224 to 377 matches the Rfam family "5.8S ribosomal RNA". The record is from RNAcentral. Lineage: Eukaryota; Fungi; Basidiomycota; Agaricomycetes; Polyporales; Polyporaceae.